This is a non-coding RNA of Vermiconidia calcicola, 110 nucleotides long. Lineage: Eukaryota; Fungi; Ascomycota; Dothideomycetes; Mycosphaerellales; Extremaceae. The record is from the annotation of a GenBank genome assembly.
ACCAUCAUGGUGUAACGGAUAACAUUACCGUCUCUCAUGGUUGAACUAGUAUACAUCUACUAGCAGGCUGUAGAACACGGUAGCUCGCGGUUCGAUUCCGCGUGAUGGUG